GACGAACGCUGGCGGCGUGCUUAACACAUGCAAGUCGAACGGAAAGGCCCUGCUUUUGUGGGGUGCUCGAGUGGCGAACGGGUGAGUAACACGUGAGUAACCUGCCCUUGACUUUGGGAUAACUUCAGGAAACUGGGGCUAAUACCGGAUAGGAGCUCCUGCUGCAUGGUGGGGGUUAGAAAGUUUCGGCGGUUGGGGAUGGACUCGCGGCUUAUCAGCUUGUUGGUGGGGUAGUGGCUUACCAAGGCUUUGACGGGUAGCCGGCCUGAGAGGGUGACCGGCCACAUUGGGACUGAGAUACGGCCCAGACUCCUACGGGAGGCAGCAGUGGGGAAUAUUGCACAAUGGGCGGAAGCCUGAUGCAGCAACGCCGCGUGCGGGAUGACGGCCUUCGGGUUGUAAACCGCUUUCGCCUGUGACGAAGCGUGAGUGACGGUAAUGGGUAAAGAAGCACCGGCUAACUACGUGC
This 469-nucleotide ribosomal RNA is filed under the name uncultured bacterium. RNAcentral's name for it is "partial 16S ribosomal RNA". It matches the Rfam family "Bacterial small subunit ribosomal RNA", at positions 28 to 508 of the family's 1533-position model. The record is from RNAcentral.